Long non-coding RNA from Tupaia belangeri chinensis (Chinese tree shrew), 555 nucleotides. RefSeq lists it as uncharacterized. The transcript has 4 exons. The record is from RefSeq and is a predicted model, not a curated record. Lineage: Eukaryota; Metazoa; Chordata; Mammalia; Scandentia; Tupaiidae.
UCCUAUGUGAUCAAUCCUCCAAGAAGUAACAGCCACAAAUACUUUACCAUACAUAAUAAUUACAAGAGGGAUGCGGAGAGUGGAUUCUGAAGUAAAAAGAAACUGAAGGGAAGUGAACACUUGGAAGAAAAAACUACACUGGAGAUGCUCUAGAGAAAUAAAAUCGAGUCCCUUGUGUGCGGUGUGGCAGGUGUCUCGGAGGAGACGGCGUAAUGGCUAAAACAGAGAGCACCCAAGUGGCCAGCACGGAGUUGCCAAACAUCGGAGUUCAUUUCGUACUUGUCCUGUUGUCUUUGGUUCCUGAAGCAAUUUCGGAACAGCUUCCAACAGCUAAUGACCCCAUCCCAGAGGGGACCUGCCCCAUAUCCUGCAGGGAGGAACGCUGCCCUGCCUAUUAGCCUCUCAAGCCUUAUGGAAUAGUCUCCAUAAAGACCCAAGGACAGUUUGAGAGAGCUCCUGCAGAGCUGAACACCGGAGGUUCCUGAAGGGGGCGUUCCCGGAGAGGACAUGGGAGGCCCUGACCCCCGACACACACACCUUGCGCAUCUCAUCACC